RNAcentral lists this ribosomal RNA (501 nucleotides) under uncultured bacterium. RNAcentral's name for it is "bacterial SSU rRNA". It matches the Rfam family "Bacterial small subunit ribosomal RNA", at positions 29 to 502 of the family's 1533-position model. The record is from RNAcentral.
AACGAACGCUGGCGGCGUGGAUAAGACAUGCAAGUCGAACGAUUACUAGUGGGUAGCAAUAUUCGCUAGUGAGAGUGGCGCAAGGGUGCGUAACACGUGGGUAAUUUGCCGUGAAGUCUGGGAUAACUUGCUGAAAGGCGAGCUAAUACCGGAUGUGAUUACUGGAAGGCAUCUUCUGGUAAUUAAAGUCGGGGACCGUAAGGCCUGACGCUUCUCGAUAAGCCCGCGGCCUAUCAGCUAGUUGGUGAGGUAACGGCUCACCAAGGCUAAGACGGGUAGCUGGUCUGAGAGGACGACCAGCCACACUGGAACUGAGACACGGUCCAGACACCUACGGGUGGCAGCAGUCGAGAAUUUUUCUCAAUGGGCGAAAGCCUGAAGGAGCGACGCCGCGUGGGGGAUGAAUGGCUUCGGCCCGUAAACCCCUGUCAUUUGCGAUCAAACCUCACGACCUAACACGUCGUGAGCUGAUAGUAGCGGAAGAGGAAGGGACGGCUAACU